RNAcentral lists this ribosomal RNA (770 nucleotides) under uncultured bacterium. Its description in RNAcentral is "bacterial SSU rRNA". It matches the Rfam family "Bacterial small subunit ribosomal RNA", at positions 91 to 844 of the family's 1533-position model. The record is from RNAcentral.
GCGAGCGGCGGAUGGGUGAGUAACACGUGGGGAACCUGCCCCUAAGUCUGGGAUACCAUUUGGAAACAGGUGCUAAUACCGGAUAAUAAAGCAGAUCGCAUGAUCAGCUUUUGAAAGGCGGCGUAAGCUGUCGCUAAGGGAUGGCCCCGCGGUGCAUUAGCUAGUUGGUAAGGUAACGGCUUACCAAGGCGACGAUGCAUAGCCGAGUUGAGAGACUGAUCGGCCACAUUGGGACUGAGACACGGCCCAAACUCCUACGGGAGGCAGCAGUAGGGAAUCUUCCACAAUGGACGCAAGUCUGAUGGAGCAACGCCGCGUGAGUGAAGAAGGUUUUCGGAUCGUAAAGCUCUGUUGUUGGUGAAGAAGGAUAGAGGUAGUAACUGGCCUUUAUUUGACGGUAAUCAACCAGAAAGUCACGGCUAACUACGUGCCAGCAGCCGCGGUAAUACGUAGGUGGCAAGCGUUGUCCGGAUUUAUUGGGCGUAAAGCGAGCGCAGGCGGAAAAAUAAGUCUAAUGUGAAAGCCCUCGGCUUAACCGAGGAACUGCAUCGGAAACUGUUUUUCUUGAGUGCAGAAGAGGAGAGUGGAACUCCAUGUGUAGCGGUGGAAUGCGUAGAUAUAUGGAAGAACACCAGUGGCGAAGGCGGCUCUCUGGUCUGCAACUGACGCUGAGGCUCGAAAGCAUGGGUAGCGAACAGGAUUAGAUACCCUGGUAGUCCAUGCCGUAAAACGAUGAGUGCUAAAGUGUUGGGAGGUUUCCGCCUCUCAGU